This 253-nucleotide ribosomal RNA is filed under the name uncultured bacterium. Its description in RNAcentral is "partial 16S ribosomal RNA". It matches the Rfam family "Bacterial small subunit ribosomal RNA", at positions 524 to 776 of the family's 1533-position model. The record is from RNAcentral.
UACGAAGGGGGCUAGCGUUGCUCGGAAUCACUGGGCGUAAAGGGUGCGUAGGCGGGUUUUUAAGUCAGGGGUGAAAUCCUGGAGCUCAACUCCAGAACUGCCUUUGAUACUGGGGAUCUCGAGUCCGGGAGAGGUGAGUGGAACUCCGAGUGUAGAGGUGAAAUUCGUAGAUAUUCGGAGGAACACCAGUGGCGAAGGCGGCUCACUGGUCCAUUACUGACGCUGAGGUGCGAAAGCGUGGGGAGCAAACAGG